AUGGAUUUGGGAGACCUCAAUAUGAAUGUAAUUGAAGCCAAGAAGUGGAUGAAAUUGCCUAGGGACAGUGACCAAGCUGGUCUCGAACUCCUGACCUCAGGUGAUCUGCCCACCUUGGUUUCCCAAAAUGCUGGGAUUACAGGCAUGAGCCACUGCGCCCAGCCUGUAUUUACUUAUUUCUUUUUAAACUUAGGCAUGCUUAUUAACUUUUUCUUCUUCAUUUUCUUUUGUGUUUGUCUUUUCCACUUUUAGUGAGGUAUAAUUGCCCAAAAAAAUUAUAUAUGGUGUCCAGUGAGAUGUUUUGAUCUAUGUGUACACUGUGAAAUAAUUAUCAUAAUCAAGCUAAUUAGAAAUCCGUCUCCCUUUGGAAUUCACUUGCACUGAAGAAGUAAUACACACUGGUGUGAAUAAUUCGAAUAGAACAAAAUGUAAUGUGGGAAAAGGAAAUCUGUCUCCCACUUUGAUCUCCACCUUCUUGAGAAGUAACCACUGGUUCCAGGGUUAACAGUUUCCUUCCAUACAUUCUUUCUUUCUUUCUUUCUUUCUCUUUCUUUCUUUCUUUCUUUCUUUCUUUCUUUCUUUCUUUCUUUCUUUCUUUCUUUCUUUCUUUCUUUCUUUCUUUCUUUCUCUCUCUCUCUUUCCUUCCUUCCUUCCUUCCUUCCUUCCUUCCUUCCUUCCUUCCUUCCUUCCUUCUUUCUUUCUUUCUUCUUUCUUUCCCUCUCUCUCUCUUUCUUUUUCUUUCUUUCUUUCUUUUUUUUUUUGAGAUGGAGAUUUGCUUUUGUCAUCCAGGCUGGAGUGCAAUAGCACGAUCUUGGCUCACUGCAACUUCUGCCUCCCAGGUUCAAGCGAUUCUCUUGCCUCAGCCUCCCAAGUGCCUGGGAUUACAGGCAUGUGCCACCACGCCCGGCUAAUUUUUGUAUUUUUAGUAGAGAUGGGGUUUCACCAUGUUGGUCAGGCCGGUGUCGAACUCCUGACCUCCAGUAUCUGCCUGCCUCGGCCUCCCAAAGUGCUGGGAUUACAGGCGUGACCCCCUGGGCCUGGCCCUUCCAUACAUUUUCUAUGUGCAUAAAAUCUCUAUCACCCUUCCCUGUUGUACAUAACUUGGAGCAGUGGUGUUCACUGAUGUGCAAUCUACUUCUUUUGAGUGCAGUUUAAUCUGUGGGUGGUCUGCAGCUAGAAGGAGCAGGCCCCAAGCAGCAGGCGUGGUGUAUCGCUGGUGCUGUGUCAGUUUCUUCUCCCUUCUCUCCCUCACCUGUGUGUUGGUCUGGGCCUGAUGGCAGCUUGCCCUGCUGUCUGCACAGCCCUGCCCUGAACACCAGCUCAGGUGCCUCUCCAUCUUGCCCUCUGGCUCUAAGGCAGCUGGUCCAGGAAUAUGUCUUUAUGCUGUGGAAUGCCAGGACCCCAACAGCACUCUGUUCAUCUGUAAGUCCCCAAACACAGUGUUCUUUUGGACAUACUUUGAAGUUGAAGAGCUAACGAGUAAGUUAGAGCGGUCAUUUAUGGUUAGAAAAGCUAUCUUUCCCCAAGAAUUUCAAGGAUUUUACCAACAUAUCUAGUGACUUGUUCACUCUUUGAGGACAGGUCUGUGUUUUAUGCGUAUCUCCUGGACGGUACUUUGAACCAUAAUGGAUGAUCAGCCCAUGUCUGUUGCAUGACUACAGUGAUUUUUUUUUUUUUUUGAGAUGGAGUCUCACUCUGUUGUCCAGGCUGGAGUGUAGUGGCGCGAUCUCUGCUGACAGCAACCUCUGCCUCCCAGGUUCAAGCGAUUCUCCAGCCUCAGCCUCCCGAGUAGCUGAGGGAGAAAUCCCGAGUAAUCCCACCCACAGAUUAAACUGUGCUCAAAAGAAGUAGAUUGCACAUCAGCGAACACCACUGCUCCAAGUUAUGUACAACAG
RNAcentral lists this long non-coding RNA (1895 nucleotides) under Papio anubis (olive baboon). Its description in RNAcentral is "lncRNA (ENSPANG00000049615.1)". Lineage: Eukaryota; Metazoa; Chordata; Mammalia; Primates; Cercopithecidae. The record is from RNAcentral.